Molecule: ribosomal RNA, 253 nt
Filed under: uncultured bacterium
Lineage: Bacteria
Description: partial 16S ribosomal RNA
Rfam family: Bacterial small subunit ribosomal RNA
Source: RNAcentral
UACGGAGGGGGCUAGCGUUGUUCGGAAUUACUGGGCGUAAAGCGCGCGUAGGCGGCUUUGUAAGUUAGAGGUGAAAGCCCGGAGCUCAACUCCGGAAUUGCCUUUAAGACUGCAUCGCUAGAAUCAUGGAGAGGUGAGUGGAAUUCCGAGUGUAGAGGUGAAAUUCGUAGAUAUUCGGAAGAACACCAGUGGCGAAGGCGACUCACUGGACACAUAUUGACGCUGAGGUGCGAAAGCGUGGGGAGCAAACAGG